Molecule: transfer RNA, 74 nt
Filed under: Stegodyphus dumicola
Lineage: Eukaryota; Metazoa; Arthropoda; Arachnida; Araneae; Eresidae
Description: tRNA-Thr
Source: RNAcentral
GCCUUCGUGGUGUAGUGGUUCUUCACGCUGGACCAGUAUUCCAGAGGUCCAUGGUUCGAUUGCCGGCGAAGGCG